GACGAACGCUGGCGGCGUGCCUAAUACAUGCAAGUCGAGCGAACAGAAGCAGCAGAAUUACUUCGGUAAGGACGCUGUGGAAGUUAGCGGCGGAUGGGUGAGUAACACGUGGGUAACCUACCCUUAAGACUGGGAUACCACUUGGAAACAGGUGCUAAUACCGGAUAGGAGUAUGAGCUGCAUGGCUUAUACUUUAAAGGCGGCGAAAGCUGUCACUAAAGGAUGGACCCGCGGUGCAUUAGCUAGUUGGUAAGGUAACGGCUUACCAAGGCGACGAUGCAUAGCCGAGUUGAGAGACUGAUCGGCCACAUUGGGACUGAGACACGGCCCAAACUCCUACGGGAGGCAGCAGUAGGGAAUCUUCCACAAUGGACGCAAGUCUGAUGGAGCAACGCCGCGUGAGUGAAGAAGGUUUUCGGAUCGUAAAGCUCUGUUGUUGGUGAAGAAGGAUAUAGGUAGUAACUGGCCUAUAUUUGACGGUAAUCAACCAGAAAGUCACGGCUAACUACGUGCCAGCAGCCGCGGUAAUACGUAGGUGGCAAGCGUUGUCCGGAUUUAUUGGGCGUAAAGCGAGCGCAGGCGGAGAAAUAAGUCUGAUGUGAAAGCCCACGGCUCAACCGUGGAACUGCAUCGGAAACUGUUUUUCUUGAGUGCAGAAGAGGAGAGUGGAACUCCAUGUGUAGCGGUGGAAUGCAUAGAUAUAUGGAAGAACACCAGUGGCGAAGGCGGCUCUCUGGUCUGCAACUGACGCUGAGGCUCGAAAGCAUGGGUAGCGAACAGG
This 781-nucleotide ribosomal RNA is filed under the name uncultured Lactobacillus sp. RNAcentral describes it as "bacterial SSU rRNA". It matches the Rfam family "Bacterial small subunit ribosomal RNA", at positions 28 to 776 of the family's 1533-position model. Lineage: Bacteria; Bacillati; Bacillota; Bacilli; Lactobacillales; Lactobacillaceae. The record is from RNAcentral.